GACGAACGCUGGCGGCGUGCUUAACACAUGCAAGUCGAACGGAAAGGCCCUGCUUUUGUGGGGUGCUCGAGUGGCGAACGGGUGAGUAACACGUGAGUAACCUGCCCUUGACUGUGGGAUAACUUCAGGAAACUGGGGCUAAUACCGGAUAGGAGCUCCUGCUGCAUGGGGGGGGUUGGAAAGUUUCGGCGGUUGGGGAUGGACUCGCGGCUUAUCAGCUUGUUGGUGGGGGAGUGGCUUACCAAGGCUUUGACGGGUAGCCGGCCUGCGAGGGUGACCGGCCACCUUGGGCCUGAGGUACGGCCCAGCCUCCUACGGGAGGCAGCAGUGGGGAAUAUUGCACAGUGGGCGGAAGCCUGAUGAAGCAGCGCCGCGUGCGGGAUGACGGCCUUCGGGUUGUAAACCGCUUUCGCCUGUGACGAAGCGUGAGUGACGGUAAUGGGUAAAGAAGCACCGGCUAACUACGUG
RNAcentral lists this ribosomal RNA (468 nucleotides) under uncultured bacterium. Its description in RNAcentral is "partial 16S ribosomal RNA". It matches the Rfam family "Bacterial small subunit ribosomal RNA", at positions 28 to 507 of the family's 1533-position model. The record is from RNAcentral.